CAGUCGCCGCGGGAAUACAGAGGGUGCGAGCGUUAAUCGGAUUUACUGGGCGUAAAGCGUGCGUAGGCGGCUUCUUAAGUCGGAUGUGAAAUCCCUGAGCUUAACUUAGGAAUUGCAUUCGAUACUGGGAAGCUAGAGUAUGGGAGAGGAUGGUAGAAUUCCAGGUGUAGCGGUGAAAUGCGUAGAGAUCUGGAGGAAUACCGAUGGCGAAGGCAGCCAUCUGGCCUAAUACUGACGCUGAGGUACGAAAGCAUGGGGAGCAAACAGGAUUAGAGACCCCCGUAGUCCCUGUCUUUUAUAA
Molecule: ribosomal RNA, 301 nt
Filed under: uncultured bacterium
Lineage: Bacteria
Description: partial 16S ribosomal RNA
Rfam family: Bacterial small subunit ribosomal RNA
Source: RNAcentral